This 73-nucleotide transfer RNA is filed under the name Methanobrevibacter sp. RNAcentral's name for it is "tRNA-Met". It matches the Rfam family "tRNA". Rfam says of the family: Transfer RNA (tRNA) molecules are approximately 80 nucleotides in length. Their secondary structure includes four short double-helical elements and three loops (D, anti-codon, and T loops). The record is from RNAcentral. Lineage: Archaea; Methanobacteriati; Methanobacteriota; Methanobacteria; Methanobacteriales; Methanobacteriaceae.
GCCGGGGUGGCUCAGCUGGUUAGAGCGCACGGCUCAUAACCGUGAGAUCGCGGGUUCGAAUCCCGCCCCCGGC